RNAcentral lists this ribosomal RNA (248 nucleotides) under uncultured euryarchaeote. RNAcentral describes it as "partial 16S ribosomal RNA". It matches the Rfam family "Archaeal small subunit ribosomal RNA", at positions 478 to 726 of the family's 1478-position model. Lineage: Archaea; Methanobacteriati; Methanobacteriota. The record is from RNAcentral.
CGCGGCCCGAGUGGUGCUCAUUAUUAUUGAGCUUAAAGCGUCCGUAGCCGGCCUCGUAAAUCUUUGGGUAAAUCGGGCAGCUCAACUGUUCGAAUUCCGAGGAGACUGCGAGGCUCGGGACCGGGAGAGGUUCGAGGUACUCCGGGGGUAGGGGUAAAAUCCUGUAAUCCUCAGAGGACCACCAGUGGCGAAGGCGUCGAACUAGAACGGAUCCGACGGUGAGGGACGAAGCCCUGGGGCGCAAACGG